UGCAAGUCGAGCGGACAGAAGGGAGCUUGCUCCCGGAUGUUAGCGGCGGACGGGUGAGUAACACGUGGGUAACCUGCCUGUAAGACUGGGAUAACUCCGGGAAACCGGAGCUAAUACCGGAUAGUUCCUUGAACCGCAUGGUUCAAGGAUGAAAGACGGUUUCGGCUGUCACUUACAGAUGGACCCGCGGCGCAUUAGCUAGUUGGUGAGGUAACGGCUCACCAAGGCGACGAUGCGUAGCCGACCUGAGAGGGUGAUCGGCCACACUGGGACUGAGACACGGCCCAGACUCCUACGGGAGGCAGCAGUAGGGAAUCUUCCGCAAUGGACGAAAGUCUGACGGAGCAACGCCGCGUGAGUGAUGAAGGUUUUCGGAUCGUAAAGCUCUGUUGUUAGGGAAGAACAAGUGCAAGAGUAACUGCUUGCACCUUGACGGUACCUAACCAGAAAGCCACGGCUAACUACGUGCCAGCAGCCGCGGUAAUACGUAGGUGGCAAGCGUUGUCCGGAAUUAUUGGGCGUAAAGGGCUCGCAGGCGGUUUCUUAAGUCUGAUGUGAAAGCCCCCGGCUCAACCGGGGAGGGUCAUUGGAAACUGGGAAACUUGAGUGCAGAAGAGGAGAGUGGAAUUCCACGUGUAGCGGUGAAAUGCGUAGAGAUGUGGAGGAACACCAGUGGCGAAAGGCGACUCUCUGGUCUGUAUCUGACGCUGAGGAGCGAAAGCGUGGGGAGCGAACAGGAUUAGAUACCCUGG
This 752-nucleotide ribosomal RNA is filed under the name Bacillus sp. (in: firmicutes). Its description in RNAcentral is "bacterial SSU rRNA". It matches the Rfam family "Bacterial small subunit ribosomal RNA", at positions 56 to 790 of the family's 1533-position model. Lineage: Bacteria; Bacillati; Bacillota; Bacilli; Caryophanales; Bacillaceae. The record is from RNAcentral.